Molecule: long non-coding RNA, 389 nt
Organism: Balaenoptera ricei (Rice's whale)
Lineage: Eukaryota; Metazoa; Chordata; Mammalia; Artiodactyla; Balaenopteridae
Exons: 3
Source: RefSeq, a predicted model, not a curated record
CGGUUUACAAUGAUCAAUGGAGCUAUGGAAACAGGAGACACCGCGCUGGAGCCUGCUGGCCUCCCAUCUGGAGCCUCGCAGGCACUGAAGACAGCAGCAGCUGGGGGUGUAUUUCGAAGGCGAGGGAUGACUAGCAAGUAUGAGCCAGAUGAGACCUCUGGGGUGACCUGGAAUUACAGAGGCCACUCAUUCUCGGAAUAGGGUUAUGAAAACUAUAAUAUUGUAGAGAUGAAAAGGACCUGUGAAGACCACCUGAUCUGUCAACUUUCUCAAAAGACCACACCUACAUGUAGACAAGUAGGUGUGUGACCUUAAAAACUUUAGGCUCUCAGAACUUCCGGUGUCUCACUAUAUCAUGAAAGGAAGUUCUUCCUUUUGUGUGACCUAUA